AAAUGUAAGUGCUGUUGGUUUUGCCACUGUUGUGGCACAGUGUUGCAGAUUUCAUGCGAUGUUUUGUAAUAUGUUCCUUUCUUGUGUUUAUAGCAGUACCAGUGCUGGUGAAGGAACUGUGAAUUUGGGGCAGAAGGUCCCAGAGGGCUGAUCACACAGGUCCAUUUCCACAGUUAGCACACCAAACUGAAACGCAUAGGCUCUCAGUUACGGGCACGGCACAGCGAUUUGCCAGUAUGUCUGCUGAGCAGCUGGAGCUGGCAUCAGCUGCCAAGGGCCUUGGUGGAGUUUGUUUUCAUGUGGGAGAACUGUGAGUUUCCUGGUGAGCAGGAGCAGGCAGAAGUGAAGGAAGAGGAGAAGAUGAAAAUAUGCCAAAGAAAGAAGUGUCUUAACAUGUUCCCCCCAAAGAACAGUGUAAGUAUUUUCUUCACCAGAACACUCACUACCUCAGUCAGCUGUCUACUGAUGGGCAUACCUUCCUGUGUGCUAAAGAGAAAGGGAGAGGCAGAAUGGUUAAAGCCAAAGCAGUGUCUUAGCUUGGGCUGCAACUCUGCUCGCUUUGCAGCACAUCAUCAGCUUCACUCAAAUGGAACAGUCCUUCCCUGACCUAACCACAAUCUGCCCAAGGUCCCCAAAUUAUUCCCACAAGUUAUACUACAACAGCUAUGACUUGCUGGGAAAGAAUCCUACAGCAGCUAAGCACAAGGAAACGUGAUUUUGCUCUUGGACAUACAGGAAAUGCAGAAGCCAAAAGAUGCCUACAGCUGCGAUGUUGAAGGAUGUGGUUUUACUUCAUGGACUUUACAAACCCGGAGACGGCACGACAAGAGAGCACAUGUGGUUUUGUGUAAGAGAUUCAGAUAUUGAAUUAAAGGCUGUCUGAAGUUUGGUCCAGCUUUAGACAGACUGUGAAACACUGUGAAACAAUCCACUUAGAUUUUGCUGUCAUUGUGGAAAACCUAAUGUAAAAGUGGCUUAAGUCUUCUUGUUUUUAUAGCUUUUACUAUUGGGGAAGUCUUGCAAUUCCAGAGUCUUUUAAGAACAUUUAUUGACUUUUUAAUUGUCUCUACUGAGGAAAUAAACUGUG
Molecule: long non-coding RNA, 1087 nt
Filed under: Gallus gallus (chicken)
Lineage: Eukaryota; Metazoa; Chordata; Aves; Galliformes; Phasianidae
Description: lncRNA (ENSGALG00010014493.1)
Source: RNAcentral